CCCUAGACCCAAAUAACACAGAAACGGCGCACACCCGUACUAUUCAUCGUCUCCCUCACUUAGCCCAACCUCAACUCGCCUAAAACUCAGGCGAGUUCACUCAAAUGGGUCUCCUCCUCUCCACGUCACUUUAUUCCAAUGGUUUUUUGUCAAAGGAGAAAGAAUAUUCUCUCCAAAAUUGUACGAUUUCUGUACGAUGGAACGAUUUGCUAGAUGAAUGGGAGCCGUGGAUGGAUGUAAAUCGAUCCAUGCCUUCCAUUUGUCCCAAAAAUCGUUCAAAAACAUGAGAAUUUUAGGAUAUUUGGGCAGAAGCAUCGAGAUUUUUGUUGGGAUAUAUAAAAGGUAUGUUCAUCUUCUUUGUUGCUCCACAUCGGAUCAUGAAAUGCAAAAUUACUUUCGUUAGUUUCUGCCCAGUUUUGUAAGACCAAUUGGCUCAAUAGUUGAUGCUAGCUUUGAAUCCCUCUCAUUGUUUGUCUUUGGUUUCAAUAGCAUAAGUCAAAUAUAUUUGAGCAUGAUGUUGUUGUAUGUAAAGAUUAAAAUUUUAAGUUGUUUAAAGUGCUCAUUGAUUCGUGCAUUACUUUCUGUAGCCUCUUCUCGUUUAGACUAAAGAUUCAUGCUUAAAACGACACUAAGAUACAACAGAAUAUUUUGUUUGUAUGUGUGUGUUUAUUGAUGUGCAUUGGUUUUAGGUUGGUUAAUCACUUCAUCUCUUUUUCCUUUUAGUUCCCUUAUUAGUGACCUCUCCCAUUAGAACCCCUUCAUAUAUAACAUCGUCAAAAGCUAUCGUGUAAUGGUUCUGCUGCAUCUCUUUAUUUCUGUCCCAGCUCGUAAUGCAGUUUCAAUUUGGUCUUAUAUGAUUAGUCUUCGUUUAUGGAAGUUCCUUUCCUUAUGUGUUUACUAGUAAAGUUAGAAUUUUGAUUGUACAAUUGUCUAUUACACUAGUAAAGGGGACUUUUCUCUUCCCUGUUAUUCAUUGCCCAAAAUCUUCCUAUGUCAUAAAUGGGAUCUGGAAUAGUGAGAGGAGUUGGAGCCUUUAGGUUGGAAGGUGUAGUUAUGGAACAAUACACAUUUUUGCCCAAAAGCCAUUUCCUCUAGAUGUCAUUCUAUGAGAAGAUAUAUAUGCUUGUGAGAAAAGCCAGCUGGUUAUUUGCUUACUCUGUGAUUAUUUGAAAAAAUGCAAAGAUUUUUACAUAGAGAGCUAGGGCUUUAUCUGUAAUGUCUCGUGAAAUUUCUGUGCAACUGAUCGAGAUUCAUGUCUAUUUCUUGUAUGAUGUGUGUGUGCGAGUACUGUUUUAUGUGUAUUUCUGAUGUUUAUUCAUUCACUGUUAGUCAGGUAAAAUUGAAAGACUAAUGUUUAAUCCUUAAUUAGAAGAUGAAUGUGUGCAGGCCAGUCACAUAUUUUUGUAAAGACUAAUUUCUUUUAUUUACUGGUUUUGUCACUAUGUGUAUAUGUUUGUCAGCAUGUCAGAGGUUCCAAUGUAGUGAGGACGUUUGAAUUUCC
Long non-coding RNA from Nicotiana tabacum (common tobacco), 1501 nucleotides. RefSeq lists it as uncharacterized. Lineage: Eukaryota; Viridiplantae; Streptophyta; Magnoliopsida; Solanales; Solanaceae. The record is from RefSeq and is a predicted model, not a curated record.